AAACUAUAAAAGACGAUCUCAGUUCGGACUGCAGGCUGCAACUCGCCUGCACGAAGUUGGAAUUGCUAGUAAUCGCGGAUCAGCACGCCGCGGUGAAUACGUUCCCGGGCCUUGUACACACCGCCCGUCACACCAUGGAAGUCUGCAAUGCCCGAAGCCGGUGGCCUAACCACUUAUGUGGAAGGAGCCGUCUAAGGCAGGGCAGAUGACUGGGGUGAAGUCGUAACAAGGUAAC
Molecule: ribosomal RNA, 235 nt
Filed under: uncultured bacterium
Lineage: Bacteria
Description: partial 16S ribosomal RNA
Rfam family: Bacterial small subunit ribosomal RNA
Source: RNAcentral